Molecule: long non-coding RNA, 7946 nt
Organism: Equus asinus (donkey)
Lineage: Eukaryota; Metazoa; Chordata; Mammalia; Perissodactyla; Equidae
Source: Ensembl
CAAAAUACUGACAUUUCGACAUGUAAUCAAUGAGAUGUUUUCCAUUCUUUUCUUCUUGGUACCCUGGGCCCUCCCACCCCCACCCCAGAGCCAGCCUUUGCUCCUUCCCUGGGGCCGGGAGAAGGGCCACCGUGGGAAUCCUGUGGCAUUCUAGGCAUUCGGCCUUUUGGGGGCGGCCAGGCGCAUGGGACACUCCAACCCUGCGGGGCUGAGGGCACAGCGGGGUCACCACGUGAAGGCUGGAGUCUGUCCUCCGGGAGGAGGUCUGGUGGCGUCUGCAGGACUGAUAGCAGGGCCCGGGGGGCGUCUCCCUGGGCCUGGAGUCCGGCCAGCAGCCCUGGUCUGGCUCUGCAUUCCUCCCCCGGGCUGGGUCCGGCCAAGGACUUCGUGCACCGGGACGUGGGCCCGAGGCCCCGGCGAGCAGGUGGGACUGCGAGAGGCUGGGGGGCCCGGAGUCCAUGAGCUGUCAGUCUGGAGCUGGGACUUGGGGGGCCUUGUGUCCUCCCUGGCCGCUCCCCACUCUGUAAGUGAGGUCUCCAGUGGGGAAGGGAGCCUGGCGGCCCUCUCUGUCUCUGUCCCUCUCUGUGCCCCCCUCACCUCCUCUCCCGGCUCCGGCCAUCCUCUCACCUCUCUUAGCCCCCGUGGAGGGGCCGCUGAUUGCUUAAUUCUGCUCUCUCCCUGCACCUGUAGCGGGGACCCCCAAAAGAUACGUCCAGGUCCUACCCACCGGUGCCUGUGACUGUGACCCUAUUUGGAAAGAGGGUCUUUGCAGAUGUCAUCAAGUUAAGGAUCUGGAUGGACGGUGGGCCCUGCAUCCAGUGAUCGCUGUCUUUAUCAGAGAAAGGUGGGGGAGAUCUGAGACCCAGAGAUGCCGCGAGAGGCCACAAGCCACGGAACGAGGAGCCACCGGAGGCUGGCAGAGGCGAGAAGAACUGACCUGUGAGGCCUCCCGGGGCAGCGCGACCCUGCCGACCCCUUGAUCUCAAACUUCUGGCCCCCAGAAACUGCGAGGGAGUCCAUUUCUAUUGUUUGAAGCCCCCCGGUUGGUGGCAGGUGAUGACAGCAGCCCCAGGAGUCCGACACACCCCCCACAGCCACCUGCCCUACUGUGCGCUCAGCCCACUGUGGCCCGGCUACUCAUCUCUGCCCCCGGGGCCACAUCCCUGUGCCACCACCUGCUGUGAGCCACGACUUUAACCACGUUAGGCCUCAGUUUCUGCAAAUGUGCAGACACUAAUAUAAAGUAUAUAUAUAAAGUAUAUAUAUAUAUAAAGUAUAAAUAUAAAUAUAAUAUAAAUAUAAGAGACAAUAAUAUAAAAAAAAACACACAGCCAGUGCCUAGCUGAGCUGGAAACAUCGAGAGCGGCCCCGACCUGUUAUCACAGCUGUUGCUACUUGGGGGGCGGCACCUGUCAUCCUUGAGGCAGAGGCGACGGCAAAUUCUAAUUGGAUGGGGAGGUGUACGUCAUCAAUAAAGAUACCCCGGGAUGUUUGGCCGUCACAAACCGCGCUCAAAAUCAGCUUGGAGGACCGUGGACUGGUGUAGCAUGCUGCCUGGCACCGUGUAAGUGGAUGUAAUUAGUGGUGGGACCCGCUCAGCCCGCUGGCAGAGGGGGCCGCCCACCCCGCUCAUCGGCUUUCAUUCGUUCAUGCCACACCCGUUUCUUGAGCAACUGCAGUGUCUGGCACAGCCGACAGCAAGUCAGUCAAGCUCCAGGGCUGCCCCCUGGGGUGCUCAGUCUUCUUGGGGAGGCAAGUGAUCAAGGAGAGAGGUGGCACAGAGUGGGGAGGUGGGGGCGGGGGUGGGGAACAGGAAGGAGGGUCCCACCCAGAGGGGCUGGGGUCAGGGAAGGCUUCCCGGAGUGAGAGGAGGCCGGAGGCCAGAGCAGAAGGACAAGUAGGCAGGGAGGAGGUAGGGGAAGGCAUUCCAGCCAGAGAGAAUAGCACGUGCAAAGGCCCAGGGGCAGGAGCACGUGGAACAAUAGGGACUCAUCAGCGUUUUGAGAAGCCAGGGCACAAGGAGGAGGGUCACGGUGAGCAACGAGGCCCAAGAGAUCUCCCGGAAGAGCAUGGCCUGCGAGAAGGUGGGGCUUGUCUUCGGGGCCCUAGGGGUCAUUGGAGGGUUUGAAGCAAUUCUGGUUCAAGGCCAGGAGUGGGCUUCCUGCAUCUCUGACGAGUCACCCCUCUUUAUGCUCCAGACCUGAAUCUCACGCCCAUCGAGGUAGGUUUUCAUCCAGAGGGACUCAGAGUGCGAGGGGAUUUGGGGAGCCAGGACUGUCCUCAGAGGCCAGGGGUCUGGGAGCACCUGCGCCCGUGGAAGGUCGUCCGUGGCUGCGGGUGCCGGGAAGGCUCCAGAAGCCCCGCCCACAGCUGGUGACUGACACCCACACUUCCUCACGCCCCCGGCCUGGGGCAGCGGGAGGUGGGUGCCAAACCGAGGCUUUUGGGGGUGCCUCCCACGCAGCGGGCUCCGGAGGGAGGAGCGUGAGCACACGGUCGCGUGUCCCCUGCAUAUGGUCUUGCACGCCGCGCACCUCCGCAGCUCCGGGUGGGGCGGCUGCACCCCGAGCAGGAGGCGAAGCCGGAGCCCCGGCGUCCGGCCCUGAGCCCCGCCCGCCAGCCGCCGCCGGACCCGUCGCCGAGGCCCUGCCACCCCGAGGCCGGUGUGUGGUCCCCAGGAGAAAGGAGGGGCCGCCCUGACCCUCUUGACCCGGCUGCUGGGAGCCUCGGCUGCCACCAGCGGACGGCCGUCUCCCACCCUGACCCGCCCCGCUGCAGCCCAGAAGGAAUGACACCCCUCUUGCUGGGAACCGGCCCCCCAAAAGCCACGUGCACCCACAUCGCAUCUCAGGCUGUCUCUAGGGGGCCUCAGCCCAGAGGAGGUGGUGCCUCCGUUCCCCCUUUAGCAUCUCCCCGCGUGCCCUCCGUCCUUCCAGAGUCUCACCUCCUCGGCCCAACCUUUGAAGCCUUUCCUCAUCUAUCCCCGGCUGACCCCUCCUUGAUGCUGAGGUCCUGUGCUAGCCCGCUGCUCAGUAAGAAGCGGCCAGGCCAGCUUCUCUGGACCUCUCUGCAGGGGCGAGGUUUCCAGAGGCUCCCUGUGCAUCCCUGCGUUUUGUUAGGGGUUGACUUGGCUGGACCCUGGAGCUCCAGACAGCCCAGCUCCCAGGAGGAUGAGCCGGAGGAGAAGGAGCCACGACGCACACGCUUUUCACACGAGCGUGGAAAAUCUGGGGAGGCUCUGAGCACGGCAGGCUCCCUGGGCCAGGGCCACGCCAACCUCGGGCUGGUCGGGGCUGGGAUGAGUAAUAGCGGUUGGGCAGGAUAACCCGCUUGAGAAAUGAACCAGGUCUUAUUUUGGCUCCUGAUUCAUCGCAAGAGAAUGCAAAGUAUUUUCCCCUCUCUCCGCCUCUUUCAAAGAGCAGCUGUGUUUUUGUGUUCUGAAGGGCUGUGUUUGCCGUGGGCCCCUGGAGAAUCAACAGGCCCUGGUUGUUUAAAGCCUCGUCCUUCAGGCAGAGCUCAUCCAACUGCAAAUAACAGAAUCCCGCUGGAAUUAGCUUAUGCCAAAGCAGAACGUAUUGUUUUGUGUCGCUGGAAAGUCAGGAGCGCUACAGCUUCAGGCACGGCUGGAUCCAGGGGCUCAGGCAGUGUUGUCCGGGAUCUGUCUCCAUCUCUCAGCCCUGGUUUGCUUUCUGUUGGCUUCACUCUCAGGUGGACACUCUCCACCUGCUGGCAAAGAUGGUGCCUCAUGGCCCCAGGCUUCUAUCGCACCAGCCGAGUGGAGAUUUCCUCUUGCGGAACAGCUUCUGCAAGAGUCCUAGGGCUGAGUCUCAUCGACCCAGCCAGGGUCACAGGCCGGUUUCUGAAGCAAUCGCCACAACCCGCCUUAGUCAGGUGAUGACUCAGCCCCCAGAGCCCGGGGUGGGGCUGGGAGAAGGCAAGCUUUGGGAGCAGAGGUGAGAGAUGCUGUGGACACCUGGGGUCCGAGAGGGUGGAGCUGGGCUGUCUGGGAGCGGCUUGUGGGGACUCUCUGGGGAGGCGGCUUUUGAGUGGCAAAGGCCUGGCCCCUGGCAAGGGGGCUCCGAUCCCAAUUUCCUCAGACUCAGAAAAGUAAAAGAAUAAGAUCAUUCCUACAAGUAUUAUGGAACAGAUUCAGACCAUCUGCGGGAGCAAGUCCUAAAUUCUGGGACUUUCCUCAGUCAGCCCAGAUGCCGGAACUCCUGAGGAAACGGCUAAGAACACGGGAUCUGACUGGGUUCCAAUCCUGGCUCUGCCAGUGCCUAGCUGUGUGGCCUUGGGCAAGUCACUCAACCUCUCUGUGCCUCUGUUUCCUUAUCUGACAAAUGGGGACCAUGACAUCGCCUGCUUAUCUCAUAGGACUACUGUGGGGAUUAAAUGAAGUCUGAGAGGCCUGGUGACAUGCCCAUGUCUCAGGGCUGAUGCCAGGUUCUGGGCUCUUUCCAUCCCCGGUGCUGGCAUGUAGCCGGAGGCUGUUGACUGUUUGUUGAAUGAAUGAAUGAAAGAUUAUAAGAAAAUGUUUAUCUCUUUCUGCUCAGAGCUCCGUCCCUGGGUUCCUUCAGCCCACAGCACAGGGGCACUCAGGGUCUCCUGAGAAGCCUGUCUCAGCCUCGGUUCCCCCAGAAGCAGCCUCGGAGGCGAGGAUGUGGGUGCAGGCAGUUUAUUUAGAGGGUUAUCCCCGGGAACACUGUCAUCGCCUCUGACCCAUUGACCCCCGGGGAGUCCCCCCCUUCCACCCCCAGGUCUCACGCAUGGUCCGUGCGCCUCCUGCCGCGCUGGCCUGGACAGCCUUCCGAAGAGGGGACAGUGGUGACCCGGCCUCCCGCGGCCCAGCUCGGCCCCUGCAGCGCCCCUCCCGCUGCAUUCUGUGGUCACAGCAGGUCACGGGUGGCCCAGCUUCGGGGAGAGAGGAAGCAGCUGCCACCUGGGGAUGGCGAGAGCUGCCACCUACUGUGGCCACGGUUUUCAAUUAAUUUUUUCGAUCAUAAGACGCUUAACUGCCAUUGUUGGAAAUCUGUUACGAUGCACAUGGAAGUGAAUGUACGACGGCAGGGGAUGUAACUGGAGCCCCCUAGAGAUGUGCAGUGCGCAACCUGCACCACGGUCACGACAGCCCUGCUGAUGUCACGGGGUUCAUCUCUUCUUCUCACACGCCUCGCUGGGGCAGGCGUCUGUUACUUUUGAGCGCCCAGUGUCCGGCACCCCUUCUGGGGACAGUGACUCCCCGUCGCCACGGGUAUUUUAGUGGGGCUGACCCUCUCCUCCUCCAGGGGUGGGCAUGUGAUCAGAAAAGUCUAUCACCCUAACCAGAGCGAUCGGUCCGAUGAUGGCACCUGACCCAAGCUGGGCCCAUGGAACUCAGGCACGGGACUUCUGCCGACACCUCUGGGAAAGAGCUGUUCUUUUUCAAUUGGGGUUGCUUGACUGUUUGGAAGCCUGGAGCUUCUACUGGGGACCGUCUUUGCCACUGUAAGAGAAGGGCCUGCCUGAGAGUGAAACAGUCACAGAGCAGAGCAGAGCCGAGAGAGGAAUAAAGAGAGAUUCCUGAUGACAGCAUUUGAGCUCCUGGAUCCAUCCAUGCCUGAAGUCCUCACCACAGACUUUCCAGUUAUAAAGCUGUGGAUUCAUGCUCAUGUUGUCAUCCUUGUGCUGCCGAUUUUCUUACGGAACGGAAAUGUCCAGCUUUGCCCCUGUUGCCUUCAAAAGCGGGGAAGGUAACUAUUGGCUGAGGAGGCCAUGGGGUUAUCGUCACACGCUGCUUGCUUCACCUGUUUCUGUUGCUGGUCUGGCCCCUGAAGGGGGCUGAGCUGGCAGCCUCUUGCCCACAGAGUCAAGUGCCCACCCGUUCACGGGACAUUCAGGGGCCUUGGGAUGCUGCCUGUUACCUGCUAACAGCACGGGGGGCUUCCUCCUCUGACCCCACUGGGGGGCCGGGCUCUCAGCCUGCAUCCUCUCAGCUCUCCUCGCGACAGUCCUGUGUAGCCCCCCAGAAACACCCCACCCCUCGGAAGCAAGGCCAUCACCUGGCUCUAUCGCCAGGAAGAAAAGCAUCCUGCUGUCAGCCCGUCCCCAGUGACGAAAGCCCGGAGGAGCCCAGGGACCCCACUCACUGAGCCUCCGACCCCGCUGGUGUCCACAGUUCAGUUCAGGUCUGACUCACGGAGUUGGCGCAGACCCCACGGGUCGAGGGCUCCGUCCCACGAGACUGUCCCCGACUUCAGCCACCAGCCAUGAAGGGGUCCCCAGGCUGCCUGUGCUUCUGUCCGGCCGGCCACAAAUUCGGGGGUCCCACACCCGACUUCAGCUUCGAUGAUUUGCUAGAAGGACUCAGAGACCCGGGAGAAGUGCCAUCCUCACUCCUACAGUUUCUCAGAAAAGAUCCAGGUGAACAGCCGGGUGGCGAGGGACGUAGGCCAGCGUCUGGAAGGGUCCCGAACACGGGGGGCUCUGUCCCCUGGAGUUGGGGCGUGCUACCCUUGUGGCACGUGGUGUGUUAGCCAAGCCGGAAGCCGCGAGCCCCGUCAUUUCGGGAUUUGUGUCGCGGUUUCUUGCCCGGAGGCGUGAUCGGCCAUCCUUAGCCACGGGUGGUGGCGCUCGCUCUCGGGCCCCUCGCCCUCCCUGGGCUCGGGGGUGGAGGGGGGGCGCUCAAGGUCUCACCCCAAAGCACGAGGUGGGUUUUCCGUGAUCAGCUCCCAUCCUGAGGGUGUCUCUGUCCCUCCGCCCCGACCCUGAGUCAUCACAUCUGCCCGCCAAACCCACUCUGGCGGCUCAGGAAAUUCCGAGGGUGUCAGGGGCCCUGCGCCAGGAACCCGAGGCAAAGGCCAAGUGUUUGUUUCCGUUAACACACAUGCACACACAAACACACACAGCUUCACUUUUUGCUGAGUUGCCACCUGGACCACUCAGACCGCAGGGCACGGGGUCCAGGAUUCGCUUCUCCUUCUGGGGCCCCCGCUCUCCUGCCCCACUGUCCUGUCCCCGCGGGUUUUCCUGCCUCCCUUUCCCCAGACCACACUGUGUGCCUGCCUGCCUUCCCCCCUCCCUCCCUUCCUUCCCUCUUCCAGUGUAUGUGUUUGCCAGCAUCCAUCAGCUAGGGGCUGAGCUGGGUGCUCUGUGCUGGGUAGUCUGAGCUGGGUGCCCUGUGCUGGGUGCCCUGAGAUAGGUACUUGUGCUGGGUGCCCUGAGAUAGGUACUCUGUGCUGGGUGCCCUGAGUUGGGUGCACUGCGCUGAGUAGUCUGAGCUGGGUGCCCUGAGAUAGGUGCUCUGUGCUGGGUGCUCGGUGCUGAGUGCAGCUCGGCUUGGUGCCCUGAGCUGGAUACUCUGAACUGGGUACCCUGAGCUGGGUGCCCUUAGAUGGGUACUCUGCACUCAGUGCCCUGAACUGGGUGCUCUGUGCUGGGUGCCCUGCCCUGGGUGCUGGAGGAACAGCUGUGAGUGAGGCGCACAGACCCGGCUCCAGUGGGCGUGUGCCCGGCCCUAGCUGGCAGGUCUCCCCGGGAUCUUGGAGCAGAGCGGCCACUGACCUCCCCGCUGCCGUCCGGGGUCGGGCUGAUCCGACUGAAGCGUGGUGCGUGCACAGAGGCACUUGGCGGUUCUCUAGCAGACACACCUGAAAAUAAGACGCUCACAGAGCCAAAGGUGGAAACAGCCCGGCGUGCACCCACGACCAGUGGAGGCAGAAAGAUGUGGUCCACCCACGGGACACACAGCACUCAGCCACAGACAGGAGCGAAUGUCUUGUAUAUGAGACCACGGGGAUGGACCCCGUGCUGAGCGAAGGGAGCCAGACCCAGAAGGACAAAUGCUGUGGGACUCCACUCACAGGAAAUGGCCAGAAUCGGCGAAGCCACAGACACGGAAGGCAGAUCCGUGGCGGCCGGGGGCCGGGGGGAGGGGAGGGCCAGCUGAGGGGCACGGGUCUCCCUCUGGG